CGAGCUUUAGAUAGCUCAAUCAA
Molecule: transfer RNA, 23 nt
Filed under: Niceforonia dolops
Lineage: Eukaryota; Metazoa; Chordata; Amphibia; Anura; Strabomantidae
Description: Hypodactylus dolops partial tRNA-Phe
Source: RNAcentral